GUGGGAGAAGGAGGAGGCGAAUCACUUAUAAAUGGCGCCCAAGCAGGACCCGAAGCCUAAAUUCCAGGAGGGUGAGCGAGUGCUGUGCUUUCAUGGGCCUCUUCUUUAUGAAGCAAAGUGUGUAAAGGUUGCCAUAAAGGACAAACAAGUGAAAUACUUCGUCCAUUACAGUGGUUGGAGUAAAAAAAGUGCUGUGAGGCCCAGGCUCUCUGAAAAAUCUUUGAAGACACGUGAGGAUAUUGUAGCCCUUUUUCCUGUUCCUGAAGGAGCUCCUUCAGUACACCACCCCCUCCUGACCUCUAGUUGAGAUGGAUGGGUGCCAGAAAGCGUCAACACCAAUUUGCAGAAACAGCGAGAACUUCAAAAGGCCAAUCAGGAACAAUACGCAGAGGGCAAGAUGAGGUGGGCUGCUCCAGGGAAGAAGACGUCUGGGCUGCAGCAGAAAAAUGUUGAAGGGAAAACAAAAAAGAACAAGCAGAAAACACCUGGAAACAGAGAUGGUGGCGGUACCAGGAAGACACCUCAGUCUCCUAGGAAGAAGAGAGCCUGGCUAGAUCCUACCAUUGAAAAAUGAAGAAACAUCCAUGAACAGAGCUGAAGUUAAAGUGAAGAUUCCUGAAGAGCUCAAACACAACAAUCUUAUCGGUAUGAAAAGUCAGCAGUCUCCUCUUGCUCUGUGA
This is an RNA transcript of Mastomys coucha (southern multimammate mouse), 680 nucleotides long. It is a transcript of the gene named mortality factor 4-like protein 1 pseudogene, with no coding region annotated. The record is from RefSeq and is a predicted model, not a curated record. The transcript is spliced from 2 exons. NCBI's taxonomy places the organism in Eukaryota, Metazoa, Chordata, Mammalia, Rodentia, Muridae.